UGGGGCGUCGUCUAAAGGCAGGACAGGGGCCUUUGAAGCCUCGAAUCUAGGUUCGACUCCUAGCGCCCCAA
Molecule: transfer RNA, 71 nt
Filed under: Deltaproteobacteria bacterium
Lineage: Bacteria; Pseudomonadati; Myxococcota; Myxococcia
Also listed under: 2 other names
Description: tRNA-Gln
Rfam family: tRNA
About the family: Transfer RNA (tRNA) molecules are approximately 80 nucleotides in length.
Source: RNAcentral